Molecule: long non-coding RNA, 487 nt
Organism: Pocillopora verrucosa
Lineage: Eukaryota; Metazoa; Cnidaria; Anthozoa; Scleractinia; Pocilloporidae
Source: RefSeq, a predicted model, not a curated record
GUAGAAUUGGAUUAAGAUACGAAAACUCUGUUCUCACUGCACCAGCUUUUCAGUCGAAAAUGAUCUCAAAAGUGCGCGUUUUUUUCUUGCUGGUUCUAAUUGCCGUAUCUAUGUAUCCUCGAACGCUCGCAUUCACAGCCGGAGCGGGCAAUAUCCGGGGUAAACGAGGUGCCAAUAACAUCCAGGCUACCUAUCACCUCCGCCGAGUUUGCGCGACAGCGCAGUCCGCCUGCCAAUCCUUGAGAAAAAAAGAUACAGCUUUUCACCCGAUGGACCAGUCUAACGAACAGUAGAAAGUCACAGGAGCUUCAAUUUGCCUUCUGAGCGAAUUUUGUAGAAGACGGCGAUAAAACCAGGAUCAUGAAUACUCACCUUUACCGUAAUUGUAGUGUUGUAGAAAGCAAGGACUCUAGAUCAGUAACUGAUAAAUAAUUUAUUUCACAAACUGUAAAAAGAAUACUGAAAUAAACAUUAUGUGCACCCGAAA